CAUGCAAGUCGAACGAGGAAGUAUCUUCGGAUACGAUCACAGUGGCGGACGGGUGAGUAAUACAUAGGAAUCUACCCAAUGGAGGGGGAUAGCUCGAGGAAACUCGAAUUAAUACCGCAUAAUCUCCACGGAGUAAAGAGGGCUUCGGCUCUCGCCAUCGGAUGAGCCUAUGCAGGAUUAGCUUGUUGGUGAGGUAAAGGCUCACCAAGGCAACGAUCCUUAGCUGGUUUGAGAGGAUGACCAGCCACAUCGGGACUGAGACACGGCCCGGACUUCUACGGAAGGCAGCAGUAGGGAAUAUUGGACAAUGAGCGAAAGCUUGAUCCAGCCAUGCCGCGUGUGCGAUGACGGCCCUCGGGUUGUAAAGCACUUUAGGUAACGAGGAAAAGUUAGGUGUUAAUACCAUCUAACCUUGACGUUAAUUACAGAAUAAGCACCGGCUAAAUCCGUGCCAGCAGCCGCGGUAAUACGGAUGGUGCAAGCGUUAAUCUGAAUUACUGGGCGUAAAGCGCGCGUAGGUGGCAUAUUAAGUUAGAUGUGAAAUCCCGAGGCUUAACCUCGGAACUGCAUCUAAAACUAAUAAGCUAGAGUACUUAGAGA
This 600-nucleotide ribosomal RNA is filed under the name uncultured Gammaproteobacteria bacterium. RNAcentral describes it as "bacterial SSU rRNA". It matches the Rfam family "Bacterial small subunit ribosomal RNA", at positions 54 to 656 of the family's 1533-position model. The record is from RNAcentral. Lineage: Bacteria; Pseudomonadati; Pseudomonadota; Gammaproteobacteria.